RNAcentral lists this ribosomal RNA (465 nucleotides) under Vreelandella stevensii. RNAcentral describes it as "partial 16S ribosomal RNA". It matches the Rfam family "Bacterial small subunit ribosomal RNA", at positions 338 to 795 of the family's 1533-position model. The record is from RNAcentral. Lineage: Bacteria; Pseudomonadati; Pseudomonadota; Gammaproteobacteria; Oceanospirillales; Halomonadaceae.
CCUACGGGUGGCAGCAGUGGGGAAUAUUGGACAAUGGGGGCAACCCUGAUCCAGCCAUGCCGCGUGUGUGAAGAAGGCCCUCGGGUUGUAAAGCACUUUCAGUGAGGAAGAACGCCUGGUGGUUAAUACCCAUCAGGAAAGACAUCACUCACAGAAGAAGCACCGGCUAACUCCGUGCCAGCAGCCGCGGUAAUACGGAGGGUGUGAGCGUUAAUCGGAAUUACUGGGCGUAAAGCGCGCGUAGGUGGCUUGAUAAGCCGGUUGUGAAAGCCCCGGGCUCAACCUGGGAACGGCAUCCGGAACUGUCAAGCUAGAGUGCAGGAGAGGAAGGUAGAAUUCCCGGUGUAGCGGUGAAAUGCGUAGAGAUCGGGAGGAAUACCAGUGGCGAAGGCGGCCUUCUGGACUGACACUGACACUGAGGUGCGAAAGCGUGGGUAGCAAACAGGAUUAGAUACCCUUGUAGUC